This 71-nucleotide transfer RNA is filed under the name Ovis aries (sheep). It matches the Rfam family "tRNA". From Rfam's summary of the family: Transfer RNA (tRNA) molecules are approximately 80 nucleotides in length. Their secondary structure includes four short double-helical elements and three loops (D, anti-codon, and T loops). The record is from Rfam by way of RNAcentral. Lineage: Eukaryota; Metazoa; Chordata; Mammalia; Artiodactyla; Bovidae.
UCCCAGGUGGCUCAGUGGUAAAGUAUCUGCCUGCCAAGCAGGAGAUCCAGGUUUGAUCCCUGAGUUGGGAA